CCUACGGGUGGCAGCAGUGAGGAAUAUUGGUCAAUGGACGCGAGUCUGAACCAGCCAUGCCGCGUGCAGGAAGACGGCUCUAUGAGUUGUAAACUGCUUUUGUACGAGGGUAAACUCAGAUACGCGUAUCUGUCUGAAAGUAUCUUACGAAUAAGGAUCGGCUAACUCCGUGCCAGCAGCCGCGGUAAUACGGAGGAUUCAAGCGUUAUCCGGAUUUAUUGGGUUUAAAGGGUGCGUAGUCGGUCGGAUAAGUUAGAUGUGAAAUCCCGAGGCUCAACUUCGGAAUUGCCACUGAUACUGUUAGGCUAGAGAGUAGUUGCGGUAGGCGGAAUGUAUGGUGUAGCGGUGAAAUGCUUAGAGAUCAUACAGAACACCGAUUGCGAAGGCAGCUUACCAAGCUACGUCUGACGUUGAGGCACGAAAGCGUGGGGAGCAAACAGGAUUAGAUACCCUGGUAGUC
This 460-nucleotide ribosomal RNA is filed under the name uncultured bacterium. RNAcentral describes it as "partial 16S ribosomal RNA". It matches the Rfam family "Bacterial small subunit ribosomal RNA", at positions 338 to 795 of the family's 1533-position model. The record is from RNAcentral.